CGUCGAUUGAACGCUGGCGGCAGGCCUAACACAUGCAAGUCGAGCGGCAGCGGGAAGUAGCUUGCUACUUUGCCGGCGAGCGGCGGACGGGUGAGUAAUGUCUGGGGAUCUGCCCGAUGGAGGGGGAUAACUACUGGAAACGGUAGCUAAUACCGCAUAACGUCGCAAGACCAAAGUGGGGGACCUUAGGGCCUCACACCAUCGGAUGAACCCAGAUGGGAUUAGCUAGUAGGUGGGGUAACGGCUCACCUAGGCGACGAUCCCUAGCUGGUCUGAGAGGAUGACCAGCCACACUGGAACUGAGACACGGUCCAGACUCCUACGGGAGGCAGCAGUGGGGAAUAUUGCACAAUGGGCGCAAGCCUGAUGCAGCCAUGCCGCGUGUGUGAAGAAGGCCUUCGGGUUGUAAAGCACUUUCAGCGGGGAGGAAGGGGUUGAGGUUAAUAACCUUAAUCAUUGACGUUACCCGCAGAAGAAGCACCGGCUAACUCCGUGCCAGCAGCCGCGGUAAUACGGAGGGUGCGAGCGUUAAUCGGAAUUACUGGGCGUAAAGCGUACGCAGGCGGUUUGUUAAGUCAGAUGUGAAAUCCCCGAGCUUAACUCGGGAACUGCAUUUGAAACUGGCAGGCUAGAGUCUCGUAGAGGGGGGUAGAAUUCCAGGUGUAGCGGUGAAAUGCGUAGAGAUCUGGAGGAAUACCGGUGGCGAAGGCGGCCCCCUGGACGAAGACUGACGCUCAGGUACGAAAGCGUGGGGAGCAAACAGGAUUAGAUACCCUGGUAGUCCACGCUGUAAACGAUGUCGAUUUGAAGGUUGUGGCCUUGAGCCGUGGCUUUCGGAGCUAACGCGUAAAUCGACCGCCG
RNAcentral lists this ribosomal RNA (861 nucleotides) under Yersinia sp. (in: enterobacteria). Its description in RNAcentral is "bacterial SSU rRNA". It matches the Rfam family "Bacterial small subunit ribosomal RNA", at positions 23 to 873 of the family's 1533-position model. The record is from RNAcentral. Lineage: Bacteria; Pseudomonadati; Pseudomonadota; Gammaproteobacteria; Enterobacterales; Yersiniaceae.